GGUAGUGUGGCUUAGUGGAAAGAGCAUGGUCCUGGGAGUCAGAAGACCUGGGUUCUAAUUCCGGCUCCACCA
This 72-nucleotide transfer RNA is filed under the name Ornithorhynchus anatinus (platypus). It matches the Rfam family "tRNA". Rfam says of the family: Transfer RNA (tRNA) molecules are approximately 80 nucleotides in length. Their secondary structure includes four short double-helical elements and three loops (D, anti-codon, and T loops). The record is from Rfam by way of RNAcentral. Lineage: Eukaryota; Metazoa; Chordata; Mammalia; Monotremata; Ornithorhynchidae.